This 306-nucleotide ribosomal RNA is filed under the name uncultured bacterium. RNAcentral's name for it is "partial 16S ribosomal RNA". It matches the Rfam family "Bacterial small subunit ribosomal RNA", at positions 507 to 807 of the family's 1533-position model. The record is from RNAcentral.
GACAGCAGUAGCCGCGGGAAUACAGAGGGUGCGAGCGUUAAUCGGAUUUACUGGGCGUAAAGCGUGCGUAGGCGGCUUUUUAAGUCGGAUGUGAAAUCCCUGAGCUUAACUUAGGAAUUGCACUCGAUACUGGGAAGCUAGAGUAUGGGAGAGGAUGGUAGAAUUCCAGGUGUAGCGGUGAAAUGCGUAGAGAUCUGGAGGAAUACCGAUGGCGAAGGCAGCCAUCUGGCCCAAUACUGACGCUGAGGUACGAAAGCAUGGGGAGCAAACAGGAUUAGAUACCCGUGUAGUCCCUGUCUCUUAUAC